Molecule: non-coding RNA, 296 nt
Organism: Pelobates cultripes (western spadefoot toad)
Lineage: Eukaryota; Metazoa; Chordata; Amphibia; Anura; Pelobatidae
Source: the annotation of a GenBank genome assembly
AUUACACGCCCGCAGCACUGACCGGGCCCCUGAAGAUAUAGGGCUCAUCAGGUGGCCCUAAAUGCUUAGGCCACCUAAUGGGCCCCGGUGCAGAUGCACCUGCGGCAGUUUCGCCGCUCCAUGUGGGGCCCGGACGGCCAGGCCCCCCAGGGCCACCGGGCCCGUGACAACCGUCAUGGUUGUCACCCCCUGAUGGCGGCCCUGCCUCCAGCACUUGUAAAACUACAAACCUGCAGGAUGCUUUGCCUUCGGGGCGCAGCUCUACAACAACUGAAAGUCAACCAAUUAUUCAUUCC